This 470-nucleotide long non-coding RNA is filed under the name Gossypium raimondii (Peruvian cotton). RNAcentral's name for it is "long non-coding RNA (GRAI_LNC002142)". The record is from RNAcentral. Lineage: Eukaryota; Viridiplantae; Streptophyta; Magnoliopsida; Malvales; Malvaceae.
ACGCCUGGUGGCGUAGCACACGCGGGGGAGGGCUUGGCUGCUACGGCACUGGGGGCUGAAGGCUACUGUUGCUGCUUUGUUUUGGACUAGUGGGCUAGGGUUUAGGCAUUUGGGUUAGGUUAAGUUUAGUUGGGCCUAGCAUUUUGGGUUUGUAAUUAAAAUCUGCAUUGGACUAUGUAAACGGACUGUCUAAUAUUGAACUUUUAUUUUUUUUUUGUUUUUUAUAUUAUUUUAACGGGCCCGGGGCAAAAUUGGGUAUUACAUCAUUCUCUAUUAUUCUCGAACCAUGAAUUACAUCGAGUAUGAGCUCAAGUAACAUAACCAAAUCAUAGAAUGAAAACUUUUAAUUUAACUUUCAAUUGGAAUGUUAAUUCUCCUUAUAACCAAAAUUAUUCAUUUCCCUAGAAAUAGAAUUUAUUCUAGAAAAAAUAAAUUUACAUUAUUUUCUGACAGAAUAACGAUGUAUGUUG